This 387-nucleotide unclassified non-coding RNA is filed under the name soil metagenome. RNAcentral describes it as "partial contains 5.8S ribosomal RNA, internal transcribed spacer 2, and large subunit ribosomal RNA". The stretch from base 1 to 120 matches the Rfam family "5.8S ribosomal RNA", at positions 35 to 154 of the family's 154-position model. The record is from RNAcentral.
GAUGAAGAACGUAGCGAAAUGCGAUAAAUAAUGUGAAUUGCAGAAUUCAGUGAAUCAUCGAAUCUUUGAACGCACAUUGCGCCCAUUAGUAUUCUAGUGGGCAUGCCUGUUCGAGCGUCAUUAAUUCCACUUAAGCCCUGCUUAGUGUUGGGAAUCUACUCUAGUGGUGCUACCCUGGAGCUACCCCUGAAAGGGGGCUGGCCCGGUAGUUACCCUGUAGUUCCUCAAAGAUAGUGCGCGGAGUUGCGUGGUCCUCUGAGCUUAGUAACUAUACACCUAGCUUUUGAGUGUCCCGCGGCGCCUGCCGUUUAAACCCCAUCUUUUAAUGGUUGACCUCGGAUCAGGUAGGAAUACCCGCUGAACUUAAGCAUAUCAAUAAGCGGAGGA